This 190-nucleotide ribosomal RNA is filed under the name uncultured bacterium. RNAcentral describes it as "partial 16S ribosomal RNA". It matches the Rfam family "Bacterial small subunit ribosomal RNA", at positions 338 to 525 of the family's 1533-position model. The record is from RNAcentral.
UCUACGGGAGGCAGCAGUAAGGAAUAUUGGUCAAUGGACGAAAGUCUGAACCAGCCAUGCCGCGUGGAGGAUGAAGGUCCUCUGGAUUGUAAACUUCUUUUAUUUGGGACGAAAAAAGGCCUUUCUAGGUCGUCUGACGGUACCAGAUGAAUAAGCACCGGCUAACUCCGUGCCAGCAGCCGCGGUAAUA